RNAcentral lists this long non-coding RNA (157 nucleotides) under Numida meleagris (helmeted guineafowl). RNAcentral's name for it is "lncRNA (ENSNMEG00000010842.1)". Lineage: Eukaryota; Metazoa; Chordata; Aves; Galliformes; Numididae. The record is from RNAcentral.
ACUCAAACAACAAACAACUUGCCAUCAGGAUUGACAUAGCAGUUUUGUGAUGUUCUGAGUUUGAUUCAUGGAAAGGUCACCAGAGGUUGUUACGAAUGGCUGAAGAACAUUGCUGACAUCCAAACACUCGUGUGCUCUGAUGUCAGAGAAUGAAAAG